CAUAGGCCCCAUAGAACCCCAUAGGCCCCUAUAGAACCCCAUAGGCCCCUAUAGAGCCCCAUAGGCCCCUAUAGGCCGCAAUGGGCCUCACCUCGGCGAUGCGCUGCCGUAGCAGCUCCAUGUGCUCCCGUUGCCGCUCCCGUUUCUUCAUGAGCUGCAGCGCCCGCCCCGCUUCACUCGCCGCUCCCUUGUACUGCGCCAUCUUGGAUCCAGUACCGACACCGGAAACCGGAACCGGAAAUAACACACCCCCCUCUUAUAGCCUUAAGUGCGUCAUUUACGUGCGACGCGAUGGGAGUGGGAAGCGGAAGUGCGUCAUUAAAGUGAGACGCGACGAGGGGUCGGAAGCGGAAGUAGCUUCUGAAGCGGAAGUGCGUCAUUACUGAGACCCUUUCCCUAUAACGACAUCCCAUUGGAGGAGCUGUUGGUUUGGGCCCCGCCCACUUCCGGUGGCUUUAUCCAAUAGGAAGGAAGGAUUUGUCCCCGCCCCCUUUCCCGUGGCUUUAUCCAAUCAGAGUGAGUCCCUUUUUAUCCCCGCCCACUUCCGAUCUGAUUAUCCAAUCAGAGUGGCUCCUUUUGUCCCGCCCUUUUCCAGUGGCUUUAUCCAAUCAGAACGCAGCCUUUUAGCCCCGCCCCUCUUUUUGCCUUCAUCCAAUCGAAUCACAGCAUCCCAUUUAAGCCCCGCCCCUCCACCCAACGGGCUCCUCUGAUUGGACGAAUCGCCCUUUGGCUCCACCCACUUUUAGCCCCGCCUCCUCCCCCUUAAUGGCCUUCUCCGAUUGGUCGAUGUCCCGUCCCGUCCCCGUUAUUUGAUUGGAUCGUUUCCCUUUAGCCCCGCCCACUUGGGGCGGCUUUUAUUGGACACGGCACACAAUAAAUAGGGGGAGGGGCGAUAGGGGGCGCUAUAGGGCACACAUAGGGAUCUAUGGGGCACAUAUGGGGGUCUAUGGGGCACAUAUGGGGCACGUAUGGGGGUCUAUGGGGCAGAUAUGGGGCAGACCCAGCUGUCUAUGGGGCAGAUAUGGGGGUCUAUGGGGCGCUAUGGGGCACACAUAGGGGUCUAUGGGGCGAUAUGGGGGCGAUAUGGGGCAGAUAUGGGGGUCUAUGGGGCAGAUAUGGGGCAGAACCCAGCUGUCUAUGGGGCAGACUGGCUAUGGGGCAGCUAUUGGGGCACGUAUGGGGCAGAUAUGGGGGUCUAUGGGGCGCUAUGGGGCAGACCCAGCAAGUCUAUGGGGCAGCCCUAUGGGUCUGGCUAUGGGGCAGCCCCACAGAUCCCUCUAUGGGGCAGCCCUAUUGGUCCCGCUAUGGGGCAGCCCCACAGAUCCCCAUCUCUAGGUCCCGCUAUGGGCAGCCCCACAUCUCCCCCCAUUACUUCCCCUAUGGGUACAUGCAAUGUGGUCCCACUAUGGGUCCUGGCUAUGGGUCCUGCUAUGGUCUGGCUAUGGGGCAGCCCCACAGAUCCCCCUCUAUAGGUCCCGCUAUGGGUCUCCCUAUGGGUCCUGCUAUGGGUCCAUCUAUGGGUCAGCCCCACAUCUCCCCCCAUUACUCCCCUAUGGGCACAUGCAAUGUGGGUCCCCGUGGGUCAUCGAAUCGAUCCAUGGGGCGGAGGCGGAGCAGCAGCGCCCCCCCAUGGACAGACACCGCCAUCAACAGCAGCGACCAGCAGCAGCCCCAUAGAGGAACCCACAGAUAGAAAGGAAGAGCAAUCGAGGCACCCAAAAAGCCAAGCCGGAUACAUUUGAAAUGGCUGCACCUAAAGGAAGGGGAGAGGGUUCAUUAGUGCCCAUUAAUUAGUUAAUUAGCGCUAAUUAAGAGCCGUUAAUUAGGCAAUCAAUGGACCCCCCCUUCCCCUCUGAAAUGAAUGAGGAGCAAUCUGAGGCCCCCCAACAAUGAAGGCCUGGAUACAUUGAAUGGCUGCACCUAAAGGAAGGGGAAGAGGGUUCAUUAGUGCCCGGUAAUUAUUAAUUAGCGCUAAUUAAGACCCAUUAAUUAGCAAUGAUUGGACCCCCCCCCCCUCUUCCAUUGAAAUGAAUGAGGAGCAAUCUGAGGCCCCAAACAAUGAAGCCUGGACACAUUGAAUGGCUGCACCUAAAGGAAGGGGAAGAGGGUUCAUUAGUGCCCGUAAUUUAGUUAAUUAGCGCUAAUUAAAAACCCAUUAAUUAGGCAAUCAAUGGGACCCCCCCCCCUUCUCCCAUUGAGAUGAAUGAAGUCUGAUGCCCCCCCCAAAGCAAAGGCCGGACACAAUUGAAUGGCUGCACCUAAAGGAAGGGGAGAGGGUUCAUUAAUACCCAGUAAUUAGUUAAUUAGUCCUAAUUAAGACCAUUAAUUAGGCAAUAUCAAUGGACCCCCCCCCCCCUUCCCCCAUUGAAAUGAAUGCAAUCUGAUGACCCCAAUAAUGAGGCCUGGAUGAGGCCCCCAACAAUGAAGCCUGGACCACAUUGAAUGGCUGCACCUAAAGGAAGGGGAGAGGGUUCAUUAGUGCCCAGUAAUUUAGUUAAUUAGCGCUAAUUAAGACCCAUUAAUUAGGCAAUCAAUGGACCCCCCCCCUCUUCCCAUUGAGAUGAAUGCAAUCUGAGGACCCCCAUAAUGGAGCCUGGAUGAGGCCCCCCAACAAUGAAGCCUGGGAUACAUUGAAUGGCUGCACCUAAAGGAAGGGGAGAGAUUCAUUAGUGCCGGUAAUUAGUUAAUUAGUCCUAAUUAAGACCCAUUAAUUAGCGAAUGAAUGGACCGCCCCCCCCCCUUCCCCCAUUGAGAUGAAUGAAGACUGAGGACCCCCCAUUGAAAUGAAUGAAGUCUGAUGCCCCCCCAAAAGCGAAGGCCGGACACAUUGAAUGGCUGCACCUAAAGGAAGGGGAGAGGGUUCAUUAGUGCCCGUAAUUAUUUAAUUAGCGCUAAUUAAGAGCCAUUAAUUAGGCAAUCAAUGGACCCCCCCCCCCUGCUCCCCCAUUGAGAUGAAUGAAGUCUGAGGACCCCCAUUGAAAUGACAUGAAGUCUGAUGCCCCCCCCAAAGCGAAGGUCGGACACAUUGAAUGGCUGCACCUAAAGGAAGGGGAAGGAUUAAUUAUACCCCAGUAAUUAGUUAAUUAGUCCUAAUUAAGACCCAUUAAUUAGGCAUUGAAUGGACCCCCCCCCCCUCUUCCCAUUGAAAUGAAUGAAGGAGCAAUCUGAGGCCCCCCCAACAAUUGAAGCCUGGACACAUUGAAUGGCUGCACCUUAAAGGAAGGGGAAAGGAUUCAUUAGUGCCGUAAUUAGUUAAUUAGCGCUAAUUAAGACCCAUUAAUUAAGGCAAUCAAUUGACCCCCCCCCCCCGUCCUCCCAUUGAAAUGAAGAAGUCUGAUGCCCCCCCAAAGCGAAGGCCGACACAUUGAAUGGCUGCACCUAAAGGAAGGGAGAGGGUUCAUUAGUGCCCAUUAAUUAGUUAAUUAGCGCUAAUUAAGACCCAUUAAUUAGGCAAUCAAUGCCCCCCCCCCCCCUCUCCAUUGAAAUAAAUGCAAUCUGAGACCCA
Molecule: long non-coding RNA, 3505 nt
Filed under: Coturnix japonica (Japanese quail)
Lineage: Eukaryota; Metazoa; Chordata; Aves; Galliformes; Phasianidae
Description: lncRNA (ENSCJPG00005002802.1)
Source: RNAcentral